ACAACCAUCAGUAUCUAAAGGGUUCUUUGGACGGCUAUUACAUGCUUAUGGAUCUCUUCCUAGUAGUGUCUUUGAAGCUGAAAGGCCUGGAUGUAGAUACUCUGUACAACAGAGAAUUGCAACAUAUUUCUACAAGGGAGUCCUAUAUGGAUUUGUUGGCUUUGCUUGUGGUAUUAUUGGCCAAGGCAUUGCAAAUCUCAUAAUGAAUGCCAAGCGGUAUGACUUGUAACUAGAUGCAUUUAUUUUUUAAUUUCCUUGCCUAGUUAUGCAUUUAAUCUUUUACAUUGACCAUAUAUAUAUUGGUUUGUGGAUUUAAUGAACUUCGUAUUAUUAAUUUUGAGGAGUAAAAAUCCAGUAAUAAGUUUCAUCGUUAUUGAUGUUAAUCCUCCUAGUUGGAACUUAAAUUCUUCAUAAGUCAUUAAUGUUUUUGUUGGCUUGAAAUGGUAAUGCCCAAUCUAAAUGUUAUUCUAUCUGUUAUUAGUAACACUGAAAAAAGAAAAGAUGGAUUUUUGGUGUGACUGUUACAUCUCCAAUAGGUAUUAUGUUCUGUAGCUGCUCUUAUUCCCCUUAUGUAAAUUGGGAAUUAUUUAGUUAUUUAGUCUUAUUUAGACAGUUGUAGAACUGUGCAAUAUGCCGUUAUGGUUCUUUUUCAAUAGAGCUGUUCUGUAUUAAAAUUAGUAUUUCAGAUUUCUGUAAUUGACAUGUAUCCUGAUUGAAGAAUUCCAUGUGCUAUAUAAAUUACCAAUGCUUUGUAACAGAUGACAAGUAUAUGGUUUAUUUGACUUUUACUUUGUCAUAUCAUUUUCUAAGGGAAAACUUUCUGCAUCCCCCACAGAUUUGUCUUAUCUAUUGCAUAUGUUAAUGUCUAAGAACAUUGUAUGUCAAAGUAAUUAGCAUGCUCUUGACAUUUUCCUUAAGCUUGUGUGUUUUUGUGAAUCAUUCCUUACAAAGUAA
This 954-nucleotide unclassified non-coding RNA is filed under the name Hevea brasiliensis (rubber tree). Lineage: Eukaryota; Viridiplantae; Streptophyta; Magnoliopsida; Malpighiales; Euphorbiaceae. The record is from RNAcentral.